RNAcentral lists this ribosomal RNA (392 nucleotides) under uncultured bacterium. RNAcentral describes it as "partial 16S ribosomal RNA". It matches the Rfam family "Bacterial small subunit ribosomal RNA", at positions 523 to 917 of the family's 1533-position model. The record is from RNAcentral.
AUACGGAGGAUGCAAGCGUUAUCCGGAUUUAUUGGGUUUAAAGGGUGCGUAGGCGGUUUGCUAAGCGGGAGGUGAAAUGCCGGCGCUCAACGUCGGAAGUGCCUCCCGAACUGGUGGACUUGAAUGACUCUGCCGUGGGAGGAAUGUGUAGUGUAGCGGUGAAAUGCUUAGAGAUUACACAGAACACCGAUUGCGAAGGCAUCUCACGAAGGGUUGAUUGACGCUGAGGCACGAAAGCGUGGGGAUCAAACAGGAUUAGAUACCCUGGUAGUCCACGCAGUAAACGAUGAUGGCUAACCGCUGGGCUUAUCAGUUCAGUGGCCAAGCGAAAGCGAUAAGCCAUCCACCUGGGGAGUACGACCGCAAGGUUGAAACUCAAAUGAAUUGACGGG